RNAcentral lists this ribosomal RNA (466 nucleotides) under uncultured bacterium. RNAcentral describes it as "partial 16S ribosomal RNA". It matches the Rfam family "Bacterial small subunit ribosomal RNA", at positions 28 to 507 of the family's 1533-position model. The record is from RNAcentral.
GACGAACGCUGGCGGCGCGCCUAACACAUGCCAGUCGAACGAGCGAGAGAGAGCUUGCUUUCUCGAGCGAGUGGCGAACGGGUGAGUAACGCGUGAGGAACCUGCCUCAAAGAGGGGGACAACAGUUGGAAACGACGGCUAAUACCGCAUAAGCCCACGACCCGCCAUCGGGUAGAGGGAAAAGGAGCAAUCCGCUUUGAGAUGGCCUCGCGUCCGAUUAGCUAGUUGGUGAGGUAACGGCCCACCAAGGCGACGAUCGGUAGCCGGACUGAGAGGUUGAACGGCCACAUUGGGACUGAGACACGGCCCAGACUCCUACGGGAGGCAGCAGUGGGGAAUAUUGCACAAUGGGGGAAACCCUGAUGCAGCGACGCCGCGUGGAGGAAGAAGGUCUUCGGAUUGUAAACUCCUGUUGUUGAGGAAGAUAAUGACGGUACUCAACAAGGAAGUGACGGCUAACUACGUG